This 468-nucleotide ribosomal RNA is filed under the name uncultured bacterium. RNAcentral describes it as "partial 16S ribosomal RNA". It matches the Rfam family "Bacterial small subunit ribosomal RNA", at positions 28 to 507 of the family's 1533-position model. The record is from RNAcentral.
GACGAACGCUGGCGGCGUGCUUAACACAUGCAAGUCGAACGGAAAGGCCCUGCUUUUGUGGGGUGCCCGAGUGGCGAACGGGUGAGUAACACGUGAGUAACCUGCUCUUGACUUUGGGAUAACUUCAGGAAACUGGGGCUAAUAUCGGAUAGGAGCCCCCGUUGCAUGGUGGGGGUUGGAAAGUCUCGGCGGUUGGGGAUGGACUCGCGGCUUAUCAGCUUGUUGGUGGGGUAGUGGCUUACCAAGGCUUUGACGGGUAGCCGGCCUGAGAGGGUGACCGGCCACAAUGGUACUGAGAGACGGCCCAGAGUCCUACGGGAGGCAGCAGUGGGGAGUAUUGCACAAUGGGCGGAAGCCUGAUGCAGCAACGCCGCGUGCGGGAUGACGGCCUUCGGGUUGUAAACCGCUUUCGCCUGUGACGAAGCGUGAGUGACGGUAAUGAGUAAAGAAGCACCGGCUAACUACGUG